AGGUCGUAACAAGGUCUCCGUUGGUGAACCAGCGGAGGGAUCAUUGCUGGAACAAACGCCCUCACGGGUGCUACCCAGAAACCCUUUGUGAACUUAUAACUUGUUGCCUCGGCAUUGGUUGGCUUCGAAUGAAGUCCCUUAUACCCUUCUGAGUGUAAGGAGCAGACCGGCCGACGGCCCCUUAUAAACUCUUGUUUUUGGUAAUAUCAUCUGAGUAAAACAACUAAAAUGAAUCAAAA
RNAcentral lists this unclassified non-coding RNA (239 nucleotides) under plant metagenome. RNAcentral describes it as "partial contains small subunit ribosomal RNA and internal transcribed spacer 1". The stretch from base 1 to 46 matches the Rfam family "Eukaryotic small subunit ribosomal RNA", at positions 1786 to 1831 of the family's 1831-position model. The record is from RNAcentral.